RNAcentral lists this long non-coding RNA (618 nucleotides) under Homo sapiens (human). RNAcentral's name for it is "HSALNT0020965". Lineage: Eukaryota; Metazoa; Chordata; Mammalia; Primates; Hominidae. The record is from RNAcentral.
CACAGCCCUCAGUCCUAAAGGCUGGUCUCACUCCCAUCCUGCCACGCAACAGCACAGGGUCUAUUUCGAGACAGCCAGUGACCAGGGCUGAGAACUUGCCCCAGACCACCAGCCUCCUCACUGAGAAAGCAAGCAGAAUCACAGUUUUUUGGAAUCUCAGGGAGCCUUCAGCGGCAAUCCAGUUCCUUCAAAGGGUCUGUGGAUUCUCUCAGUUUUCAUGAUUCCAGGAACAUGAAGAUAAUGGGAGAGGCAGCCAGUCGGGGGCAAAGAUGCCGUUAAACAGUCAGCCCUGGGCAUGGACGUGCCCCCUCCUACUGAAGUCCUAUAUUCACAUCUUUCUGGGCCUGAAGCUGGCAUGUAAUUCUCGUUAACUCCAUGAGCAGAGUUUCAAUACUGCCCUGACCAAUGGGCAAAGAUGAUUCCCAGGCUGGAUCCCUGAACGCUAACUGACAUCCUGCUUUUCUUAAGGGAUAUGGAAAUUUCCCUGGGACAGCUGUGCUCUGCUGGCUAAGGAGCCCACAAGGUUAAUGAACACCCACAAAGACUGAGGAGGAUAGAGAGCAUUCUUCACUGGAUGAUUAGCAUGCCAGCAUUCUUUCCUCUGUGGUAAUGAUGGUC